UUGGAGUUCAAGUGCAUGUGGAGAAAAUGACCUGGAAGGCAGCGAGACAGAGAGCGGAAUGGGAAAGCGCAGGCUGGAAUAUCCUCUUUUUUCCAGGCACUGAUUUUUGCCCUGGAAUAAAGAAGGUGAGAUUGACAAAAGCACUCUCAACUCUCAAAAAGAGCAAAUGAAAGAAAAUCGAACACCGGGAGACUAGAGCAGAGGACAAGAAAAUGUAUUCCGGCCCCCUCCCCUGAACUCUCGGCUACGACUCACUCCUCCUUCUUUCCUCCCUCCUGUGAACCCCUUAGCCUCUCUUUUCUAUCUGUUUUUCCUUCUGUGUCAUCCUCUCCCCUCCCAUCUCCUCAUGCAGUCGCUUGCGUACACAUGCGCCCUUACGAUCUCGCUCUCUUUUCCUCUCUCUCCGCCGGCUGCAGUGCUUCUCUUCUCAUCCUCGCUGUCUGGCAGCUCCAUCCGUGUUCCUCCCUCCUGGACGGAGAAACACACGCAGCCUUUUUAAUGGUCCCCCCACCCCUCUGCGUGCCUCCCUAAAAAAAACAGGCCCCUUUUCCUACUUCUCUCGGUGCCUGAUCACCAUCCGCUCUCCUUUGCAAUUCACUUACAUUUAUCAUUUUUUCUUGUUUUCUCUUUGCGUUGAAUCAUUUUCCAGUUCUAUCCCACAAAUUCUCACAUUCAUAAUGUAAAAGCAGUUCAGAGUGCUGAAUGAAGAGUAGGAAAUGGGAUGGAUAGGAGGAAAAACAUGGUUUGGGAGGAAACGGUAAGAGAAGAGAAGUGACUGGGAUAGCGGAGAGGAGGAAGGACCCGGAGCAACGAGAGAGUGCCAAACGUGGGAUCAGCGAAACCGCGGGAAAAGAAGAAAGAACGUGCAGGAAUGCUGUGGAACUACAGUUUGGAAUCAUCCUUGUUAUUCCUUCCUCAAGACUGGAAUGAUGGAAAGAAUUUCAGCAUGUACGAAUGAAUAUCAUAAGAUUUUGGAACACCAUGUGCGUCGCAACCUCAGGAGAUUUAGAGACAUCACGCAAUUUGGAGAAGAAACCGUCAUUGUGAGAGUGGUGCAUUUACUAAGGAGGAAGGUAAAAAGUGUCGUCAUCCAAGAUUAAUAUGCUGUAUAUAUAAAAUAUGUAGUGUGUGUGAAUAUCU
Carassius carassius (crucian carp) is the source of this 1140-nucleotide long non-coding RNA. RefSeq lists it as uncharacterized. The record is from RefSeq and is a predicted model, not a curated record. Lineage: Eukaryota; Metazoa; Chordata; Actinopteri; Cypriniformes; Cyprinidae. The transcript has 4 exons.